Molecule: long non-coding RNA, 3187 nt
Organism: Pan troglodytes (chimpanzee)
Lineage: Eukaryota; Metazoa; Chordata; Mammalia; Primates; Hominidae
Exons: 3
Source: RefSeq, a predicted model, not a curated record
GCCAUUCUGCCUCAGCCUCCCGUGAGUCUGAGUAGCUGGGACUACAGGCACUCACCAACACAGCCGGCCAAUUUUUUUUGUAUUUUUAGUAGUGACAGGGUUUCACUGUGCUAGCCAGGAUGGUCUCCAUCUUCUGACCUCAUGAUCUGCCCACCUACGCCUCCCGAAGUGCUGAGAUUACAUGCGUGAGCCACUGCACCAGACAAAGUCUCUCUGUGUUGCCCAGGCUGGACUUCAAUGGCACGACACUGACUCACUGCAACCUCUGCCUCCGAGGUUUGGGUGAUUCUCCUCUCUUAGCCUCCUGAAUAGCUGGGAUUACAGGUGUGCACCACUAUGCCCAGGAUUAUGCUCCAUGGCCCAGGCUGGACUACAGUGACAAGAUGAUAGCUCGUAACUCAAUGAGGCCUCACAUCCAGGGUUCAAGGAAUACUCCUGCCUCAGCAUUCUACCUAGUUGGGAUUAGAGAAAUGCACCACCAUGUCCCAAUCGCCUCAUUACUUUUACUAAAUAUGAGUAGCAUUUUAUGACUACCUUUUUAAAGAAAAAACAAAACUUACUUGGUGUUCACUCAUUUUUCAGAGACAACAUUUUAGAAUGUAAAGCAAGAAUCUCAUGAUAAUAAAACAGCAAUAUUAAUUGGCAGUACAAAAUUGAUUUCAAUUCUGGUAGUAAAUGAACACACACGAUGGGUAAAGCAAUUUUCAAUGGCAACAAUAAAAUUUGCCUGAUUUGCUAAUCAUCAGUCAUUUUCUUUCAGAGCUGGCUAAAUUGCAACAUCUUUACAUUGCCAACUUUUUACUGUUCUUAGGAGUCAAUAUUAAAAAUCACAAAAAAGACUUCUGUCUUUUUUGUCAUUACCAUGACAGAUAAAUAAAAUAGUUUGUUUCUCUCUACCAUGUAUCUUACUUAAUAAAAUGAUAUUAUAUUCCAAGUCAGAGGCCAGGUUUUUUUUCAUUUUGCCAUAGGAACAUUUAUAAUAUAAAUUUCUUUUGAAAAAGGUAAUUUUUAUAAUCUAAUUUCAGGUAAAGAAUAACAUGGAGAGGCUUCUUGUAACACUUAAACAGUACACAUUUCAUUAUCUUAUUCUCUUAAAAAUUAUAAUAAAGUAAAAAUCAUGCCAUUUGCCACAUUAUUAAUAGCAUCAAAAGUUUUCAUGUGAAAUUUGGAUUAAUAUUAUCUUUGCCUAUAUUGUUAUCUGCUGCCUUGAACAGUGUUGAUCUCAGUUGAACACUGCCUGUUGAAUAGACUAAAUGUUCAUUAGAAAAAAAGAUUCCAAGCUUAUCUUAAUAAGGAGAAUAAUAAAUUUAUGCAUGAAACCCACAUUAAUCCACAUCAACUAUUUUCCACAUUAACCCAACAUGGAUACCUUUACUGUAAUCACCUCCUUGGAUGAGAUGAGGCUAAGAUGUGAUUUAGCCUUACUUUAGAGCAAAUACAAGAAGUUACAUAGUAAACAAUAUAUGACUACAAACAAUUUUUUAAAUGGCAUAAAUUAAUUUCCAUUGAUAGGAACUCAAUGUCAUUCAUACAACAUUAAUUAUCUGCUUGAAAUCUAUGAUGGUGGACCAAAGAACAAUUAGAAAAUUUUAAUUGCUAAAAUCUAAUAUUUCAGUUGUUUAAAUUUAAAAUUAUCUUUUGCCUUUAAUUAUUGUGUUCUACAGCUUCAUAGUAACUUUAUUUUAUUAUCAGGUUUUCAUUGUGCUUAAUAUAAUGUCUAUUGAGUGAAAAUGGUGUGUUUGUGUGUAGGUGUGUGUGUACAGCGUUUCCAGAUAUAUAGUAUGAUUGUUUCUAGAAUCCUAUAACAAUAACACUUUGAAUCUCCUGGCAGAGUUGGGAAACUAAUUUUGGUGCAAUUCUUAGGCUUAUUUUACUGCAGAUGACACAACUAAGAAUUCUAGAAGAAUGCUGAAGAUCUGUGUUUAGCAUAAACAUAGUUCUUUAAAAUUAUCAUUUUUCUCAAAACCAGUCUGGCCACAAUUGUGAAACCCCAUCUCUUCUAAAAAUACAAAAAUUAGCCAGUCAUGGUGUCAGGCACUUGUAAUCCCAGCUACUCAGGAGGCUGAUGCAGAGAAUUGCUUGAACCCAGGAGGCAGAGGUUUCAGUGAGCCGAGAUUCCGCUCCUGCACUCCAGCCUGGGUGAGAGUGAGAAUUCUUCUUACACACACACACACACACACACACACACAAAUAAUAGUGAUAAUAAAUAAAAAAGAAAAACUCUUCUUCUUACAUACUGAUUAAACUAACUACUUAGAGGCUACGGAUUGCUUUUGGAUAACUUAAUGUUGUCUGCCAUGAUAACAUCAACUUUUUCUAAAAAGUUUCCAUUCUAGUACCUUACUUUCUAUGACUGUUUUUCAUUGUUACUUCUGUAGUAACACAUGUAUGCUUUUAGAUGAUUCCAAAUUCUGGACAUUUGUAUCCAUUGCAGUUUUUUAUUUGGUGACCCGUAUGUUUCUAAAAGGCAAUCUGCUCAAACAGGUUCACUUUUUUCUAUCAGUAAAUUGCAUUACUAUUCUCUCAGCUUAUCAAAUCACACCCAGGACAGAGGUGUUAACAUCUCUUUCCUACUCCACUUUCUCAAAUAUCCAGUUGGUAACCCCUGCCUAUUCUAACUCAUGAAGAGCUCAUAAAUCUGUCCACACAUAUGUUCUACAUUGCCAGCUUUUCUAAUGUAGAGCACCCACAAUCUUUUUCUACAGAUAAUUUUGAAUACUUCCUUACUGUGGUAUAUUGUGAAAUUUUCUAUGCUAUAGCCAGUGAGAUGUUACUAAUAUAUGCCUUUUUUUAUCCUCUGAUGGUUUAUCAAAUCACACUGAAUAUCUCACAUAAUUGCUAAAAAGCCAAGUUAUGUCAAAACUAAGUCUGUACCCACUGUCUACUUAAAAAAAAAUCAACUUAACAAAGCAACCCUUUUCAACUGCAAGAUGCUUUCUACUCUCCAAAUCUAAGUCACAUAUGCCCUAUAAUAGGCAGAAGAUCACCCUGUAUUGUAUUUUUUUUGGUUCAUUAUGAUGUUUUGUAUCCCACCUGGGCUGUUAUUCUGUACUGUAUUUUCAAAAUCAUAAUUAAGACAGAUUCAAAAUACUUUAUCUGAAAUUCAAAAAGCUCAAUUAAGCAAGACUUUUUAAAAUGAGAUUGGCAUGUAACUCAAUUUCUGAUGUAAUAAAGCCUUAAUUGAGGG